This 300-nucleotide ribosomal RNA is filed under the name uncultured bacterium. RNAcentral describes it as "bacterial SSU rRNA". It matches the Rfam family "Bacterial small subunit ribosomal RNA", at positions 1081 to 1382 of the family's 1533-position model. The record is from RNAcentral.
UAAGUCCCGCAACGAGCGCAACCCUCGUCGUUAGUUGCUAACAGUUCGGCUGAGAACUCUAACGAGACUGCCUGGGCAACCAGGAGGAAGGUGAGGACGACGUCAAGUCAUCAUGGCCCUUACGUCCAGGGCUACACACGUGCUACAAUGGGGCAUACAAAGAGCAGCGAUACCGCGAGGUGGAGCAAAUCUCAAAAAUGCCUCCCAGUUCGGAUAGCACUCUGCAACUCGAGUGCUUGAAGUUGGAAUCGCUAGUAAUCGUAGAUCAGCAAUGCUACGGUGAAUACGUUCCCGGGCCUU